UGUAACUCAGUGAUAGAGCAUCUGCCUGACAUGCACAAGGUCCUGGGUUCAAUCCCCAGUA
This 61-nucleotide transfer RNA is filed under the name Heterocephalus glaber (naked mole-rat). It matches the Rfam family "tRNA", at positions 6 to 65 of the family's 71-position model. Rfam says of the family: Transfer RNA (tRNA) molecules are approximately 80 nucleotides in length. Their secondary structure includes four short double-helical elements and three loops (D, anti-codon, and T loops). The record is from Rfam by way of RNAcentral. Lineage: Eukaryota; Metazoa; Chordata; Mammalia; Rodentia; Bathyergidae.